GGGGGAUCCCAAGUGCCAUUCUUAACGGGAUGGCUUUUCAUUAGUGUAAAGAGCUUUUGGAAUAAGGGCUGGGCAAGACCGGUGCCAGCCGCCGCGGUAACGCCGGCAGCUCUAGUGGUAGCAGUUUUUAUUGGGCCUAAAGCGUCCGUAGCCGGUUUAAUAAGUCUCUGGUGAAAUCCUGUAGCUUAACUGUGGGAAUUGCUGGAGAUACUAUUAGACUUGAGACCGGGAGAGGUUAGAGGUACUCCCAGGGUAGAGGUGAAAUCCUGUAAUCCUGGGAGGACCGCCUGUUGCGAAGGCGUCUAACUGGAACGGUUCUGACGGUGAGGGACGAAAGUUAGGGGCGCGAACCGGAUUAGAUACCCGGGUAGUCCUAACCGUAAACGAUGCGGACUAGGUGUUGGGGUGGCUUUGAGCUGCUCCAGUGCCGAAGGGAAGCUGUUAAGUCCGCCGCCUGGGAAGUACGGUCGCAAGACUGAAACUUAA
This 486-nucleotide ribosomal RNA is filed under the name uncultured archaeon. RNAcentral describes it as "bacterial SSU rRNA". It matches the Rfam family "Archaeal small subunit ribosomal RNA", at positions 373 to 859 of the family's 1478-position model. The record is from RNAcentral.